RNAcentral lists this ribosomal RNA (796 nucleotides) under uncultured Methanosarcinaceae archaeon. RNAcentral's name for it is "bacterial SSU rRNA". It matches the Rfam family "Archaeal small subunit ribosomal RNA", at positions 85 to 879 of the family's 1478-position model. Lineage: Archaea; Methanobacteriati; Methanobacteriota; Methanomicrobia; Methanosarcinales; Methanosarcinaceae. The record is from RNAcentral.
ACUGCUCAGUAACACGUGGAUAACCUGCCCUUGGGUCCGGCAUAACCCCGGGAAACUGGGGAUAAUUCCGGAUAACGCACAUAUGCUGGAAUGCUUUAUGCGUAAAAUGGAUUCGUCUGCCCAAGGAUGGGUCUGCGGCCUAUCAGGUAGUAGUGGGUGUAAUGUACCUACUAGCCAACAACGGGUACGGGUUGUGAGAGCAAGAGCCCGGAGAUGGAUUCUGAGACAUGAAUCCAGGCCCUACGGGGCGCAGCAGGCGCGAAAACUUUACAAUGCGGGAAACCGUGAUAAGGGGACACCGAGUGCCAGCAUCAUAUGCUGGCUGUCCAGGUGUGUAAAAUACACCUGUUAGCAAGGGCCGGGCAAGACCGGUGCCAGCCGCCGCGGUAACACCGGCGGCCCGAGUGGUGAUCGUGAUUAUUGGGUCUAAAGGGUCCGUAGCCGGUUUGGUCAGUCCUCCGGGAAAUCUGAUAGCUCAACUAUUAGGCUUUCGGGGGAUACUGCCAGACUUGGAACCGGGAGAGGUAAGAGGUACUACAGGGGUAGGAGUGAAAUCUUGUAAUCCCUGUGGGACCACCUGUGGCGAAGGCGUCUUACCAGAACGGGUUCGACGGUGAGGGACGAAAGCUGGGGGCACGAACCGGAUUAGAUACCCGGGUAGUCCCAGCCGUAAACGAUGCUCGCUAGGUGUCAGGCAUGGCGCGACCGUGUCUGGUGCCGCAGGGAAGCCGUGAAGCGAGCCACCUGGGAAGUACGGCCGCAAGGCUGAAACUUAAAGGAAUUGGCGGGGGAGCAC